GCUGGGCAUGGUGGCGCGUGCCUGUAAUCCCAGCUACUUGGGAGGCUGAGGCAGGAUAAUUGCUUGAACCCGGAGGUGGGGGUUGCAGUGAGGCGAGAUGGCGCCACUGCACUCCAGCCUGGGCUACAGAGCAAGACUCUGUCUCAC
Homo sapiens (human) is the source of this 147-nucleotide non-coding RNA. It matches the Rfam family "Metazoan signal recognition particle RNA". Rfam says of the family: The signal recognition particle (SRP) is a universally conserved ribonucleoprotein. It is involved in the co-translational targeting of proteins to membranes. The record is from Rfam. NCBI's taxonomy places the organism in Eukaryota, Metazoa, Chordata, Mammalia, Primates, Hominidae.